This 1365-nucleotide ribosomal RNA is filed under the name uncultured bacterium. RNAcentral describes it as "16S ribosomal RNA". It matches the Rfam family "Bacterial small subunit ribosomal RNA". The record is from RNAcentral.
UUAGAGUUUGAUCCUGGCUCAAAAGGACCCCUUGGGGGGUGGAUAAGACAUGCAAGUCGAACGAGAGAAUUGCUAGCUUGCUAAUAAUUCUCUAGUGGCGCACGGGUGAGUAACACGUGAGUAACCUGCCCCCGAGAGCGGGAUAGCCCUGGGAAACUGGGAUUAAUACCGCAUAGUAUCGAAAGAUUAAAGCAGCAAUGCGCUUGGGGAUGGGCUCGCGGCCUAUUAGUUAGUUGGUGAGGUAACGGCUCACCAAGGCGAUGACGGGUAGCCGGUCUGAGAGGAUGUCCGGCCACACUGGAACUGAGACACGGUCCAGACACCUACGGGUGGCAGCAGUCGAGAAUCAUUCACAAUGGGGGAAACCCUGAUGGUGCGACGCCGCGUGGGGGAAUGAAGGUCUUCGGAUUGUAAACCCCUGUCAUGUGGGAGCAAAUUAAAAAGAUAGUACCACAAGAGGAAGAGACGGCUAACUCUGUGCCAGCAGCCGCGGUAAUACAGAGGUCUCAAGCGUUGUUCGGAAUCACUGGGCGUAAAGCGUGCGUAGGCUGUUUCGUAAGUCGUGUGUGAAAGGCGCGGGCUCAACCCGCGGACGGCACAUGAUACUGCGAGACUAGAGUAAUGGAGGGGGAACCGGAAUUUUCUGUGUAGCAGUGAAAAGCGUAGAUAUCGAGAGGAACACUCAUGGCGAAGGCGGGUUCCCGGACAUUAACUGACGCUGAGGCAUGAAGACCAGGGGAGCGAAACAAAUUAGAUUACCCCUGUUAGUCCUGGCCAGUAAACGGGGGCACGCCUUGGUGGCGGGGGAUUCGACCCCCUGCGUGCCGGAGCUAACGCGUUAAGCGUGCCGCCUGGGGAGUAUGGUCGCAAGAUUAAAACUCAAAGAAAUUGACGGGGACCCGCACAAGCGGUGGAGUAUGUGGCUUAAUUCGAUGCAACGCGAAGAACCUUACCUGGGCUUGACAUGUAAUGAACAACAUGUGAAAGCAUGCGACUCUUCGGAGGCGUUACACAGGUGCUGCAUGGCCGUCGUCAGCUCGUGUCGUGAGAUGUUUGGUUAAGUCCAGCAACGAGCGCAACCCCUGUUGCCAGUUACCAGCACGUGAAGGUGGGGACUCUGGCGAGACUGCCCAGAUCAACUGGGAGGAAGGUGGGGACGACGUCAGGUCAGUAUGGCCCUUAUGCCCAGGGCUGCACACGUACUACAAUGCCCAGUACAGAGGGGGCCGAAGCCGCGAGGCGGAGGAAAUCCUAAAAACUGGGCCCAGUUCGGACUGUAGGCUGCAACCCGCCUACACGAAGCCGGAAUCGCUAGUAAUGGCGCAUCAGCUACGGCGCCGUGAAUACGUUCCCGGGUCUUGCACA